GGCAGCGGGACAUUUCGGUGUUGCCGGCGACCGGCGGACGGGUGCGUAAUGCGUAUGCAAUUUGCUUUACACUGGGGCAUAGCUCCCGGAAACGGGAAUUAAUACCCCAUAUUAUCUAGUCAGCGCAUGUUGAUUAGAUGAAAGCUCAGGCGGUGUAAAAUGAGCAUACGUCCUAUUAGCUAGUUGGAGAGGUAAUGGCUCACCAAGGCGAUGAUGGGUAGGGGUUCUUAGUGGAAGGUCCCCCACACUGGCACUGAGAUACGGGCCAGACUCCUACGGGAGGCAGCAGUAGGGAAUAUUGGUCAAUGGGCGCAAGCCUGAACCAGCCAUGCCGCGUGCAGGAUGAAGGCUCUAUGAGUUGUAAACUGCUUUUGU
This 375-nucleotide ribosomal RNA is filed under the name Candidatus Cardinium sp. ESP2. Its description in RNAcentral is "bacterial SSU rRNA". It matches the Rfam family "Bacterial small subunit ribosomal RNA", at positions 68 to 439 of the family's 1533-position model. The record is from RNAcentral. Lineage: Bacteria; Pseudomonadati; Bacteroidota; Cytophagia; Cytophagales; Amoebophilaceae.